AAGUCGUAACAAGGUUUCCGUAGGUGAACCUGCGGAAGGAUCAUUAAAGAGACGUUGCCCUUCGGGGUAUACCUCCCACCCUUUGUUUAUUAUACCUUUGUUGCUUUGGCGGGCCCGUCCUCGGACCACCGGCUUCUGCUGGUCAGUGCCCGCCAGAGGACCUAAAACUCUGUUUGUUAAUAUUGUCUGAGUACUAUAUAAUAGUUAAAACUUUCAACAACGGAUCUCUUGGUUCUG
RNAcentral lists this unclassified non-coding RNA (237 nucleotides) under Pseudeurotium bakeri. Its description in RNAcentral is "partial internal transcribed spacer region". The stretch from base 1 to 46 matches the Rfam family "Eukaryotic small subunit ribosomal RNA", at positions 1786 to 1831 of the family's 1831-position model. The record is from RNAcentral. RNAcentral also lists the same sequence under 2 other names. Lineage: Eukaryota; Fungi; Ascomycota; Leotiomycetes; Thelebolales; Pseudeurotiaceae.